Molecule: ribosomal RNA, 806 nt
Filed under: uncultured bacterium
Lineage: Bacteria
Description: bacterial SSU rRNA
Rfam family: Bacterial small subunit ribosomal RNA
Source: RNAcentral
AGAGUUUGAUCCUGGCUCAGAUUGAACGCUAGCGGGAUGCUUUACACAUGCAAGUCGAACGGCAGCACGAGAGAGCUUGCUCUCUUGGUGGCGAGUGGCGGACGGGUGAGUAAUAUAUCGGAACGUGCCCAGUAGCGGGGGAUAACUACUCGAAAGAGUGGCUAAUACCGCAUACGCCCUACGGGGGAAAGGGGGGGAUCGCAAGACCUCUCACUAUUGGAGCGGCCGAUAUCGGAUUAGCUAGUUGGUGGGGUAAAGGCUCACCAAGGCAACGAUCCGUAGCUGGUUUGAGAGGACGACCAGCCACACUGGGACUGAGACACGGCCCAGACUCCUACGGGAGGCAGCAGUGGGGAAUUUUGGACAAUGGGGGAAACCCUGAUCCAGCCAUCCCGCGUGUAUGAUGAAGGCCUUCGGGUUGUAAAGUACUUUUGGCAGAGAAGAAAAGGCAUCCCCUAAUACGGGAUGCUGCUGACGGUAUCUGCAGAAUAAGCACCGGCUAACUACGUGCCAGCAGCCGCGGUAAUACGUAGGGUGCAAGCGUUAAUCGGAAUUACUGGGCGUAAAGCGUGUGUAGGCGGUUCGGAAAGAAAGAUGUGAAAUCCCAGGGCUCAACCUUGGAACUGCAUUUUUAACUGCCGAGCUAGAGUAUGUCAGAGGGGGGUAGAAUUCCACGUGUAGCAGUGAAAUGCGUAGAUAUGUGGAGGAAUACCGAUGGCGAAGGCAGCCCCCUGGGAUAAUACUGACGCUCAGACACGAAAGCGUGGGGAGCAAAAAGGAUUAGAUACCCUGGUAGUCCACGCCCU